RNAcentral lists this ribosomal RNA (334 nucleotides) under uncultured eukaryote. RNAcentral describes it as "partial 18S ribosomal RNA". It matches the Rfam family "Eukaryotic small subunit ribosomal RNA", at positions 1470 to 1796 of the family's 1831-position model. The record is from RNAcentral.
CCCUUAGAUGUCCGGGGCCGCACGCGCGCUACACUGAAGGAAUCAGCGUGGCUUUCUCCCUGACCCGAAAGGGUUGGGAAACCCGUCGAAUCUCCUUCGUGAUAGGGAUUGGGGCUUGAAAUUGUUCCCCAUGAACGAGGAAUUCCCAGUAAGCGCGAGCCAUAAGCUCGCGUUGAUUACGUCCCUGCCCUUUGUACACACCGCCCGUCGCUACUACCGAUUGAACGGUUUAGUGAGGGCCUCGGAUUGGUCUCGGCCCGCUCUUUACCGGGCGGCGCCGUUGGUCGAGAAGACGCUCGAACUUGAUCGUUUAGAGGAAGUAAAAGUCGUAACA